This is a non-coding RNA of Acanthosepion pharaonis, 110 nucleotides long. The record is from the annotation of a GenBank genome assembly. NCBI's taxonomy places the organism in Eukaryota, Metazoa, Mollusca, Cephalopoda, Sepiida, Sepiidae.
CAGUCAUAUAGGAGUGAAACACUCAUUCCCAUAUGAUCACCAAUGUUAAGUAAUGUCAAGCCUGGUCAGUAGCUAGAUGGGUGACUGCUUGAGAAUACCAGAUGCUGUAA